This 497-nucleotide ribosomal RNA is filed under the name uncultured bacterium. RNAcentral describes it as "partial 16S ribosomal RNA". It matches the Rfam family "Bacterial small subunit ribosomal RNA", at positions 28 to 507 of the family's 1533-position model. The record is from RNAcentral.
GAUGAACGCUGGCGGCGUGCCUAAUACAUGCAAGUCGAGCGAACAGACGAGGAGCUUGCUCCUCUGACGUUAGCGGCGGACGGGUGAGUAACACGUGGAUAACCUACCUAUAAGACUGGGAUAACUUCGGGAAACCGGAGCUAAUACCGGAUAAUAUAUUGAACCGCAUGGUUCAAUAGUGAAAGACGGUUUUGCUGUCACUUAUAGAUGGAUCCGCGCCGCAUUAGCUAGUUGGUAAGGUAACGGCUUACCAAGGCAACGAUGCGUAGCCGACCUGAGAGGGUGGUCGGCGACACUGGAGCUGAGACACGGUCCAGACUCCUACGGGAGGCAGCAGUAGGGAAUCUUCCGCAAUGGGCGAAAGCCUGACGGAGCAACGCCGCGUGAGUGAUGAAGGUCUUCGGAUCGUAAAACUCUGUUAUGAGGGAAGAACAAAUGUGUAAGUAACUAUGCACGUCUUGACGGUACCUAAUCAGAAAGCCACGGCUAACUACGUG